Molecule: ribosomal RNA, 544 nt
Filed under: uncultured Glomeromycotina
Lineage: Eukaryota; Fungi; Glomeromycota
Description: SSU rRNA
Rfam family: Eukaryotic small subunit ribosomal RNA
Source: RNAcentral
UUGGAGGGCAAGUCUGGUGCCAGCAGCCGCGGUAAUUCCAGCUCCAAUAGCGUAUAUUAAAGUUGUUGCAGUUAAAAAGCUCGUAGUUGAAUUUCGGGGUUCUACCGUUGGUCGGGCUUUGUCUGUACUGGUGUGUAGAAUUUCUACCUUCUGGGGAACCAUCAUGCUAUUAAUUUAGCGUGGUGGGAAACCAGGACCUUUACCUUGAAAAAAUUAGUGUGUUCAAAGCAGGCUUAUGUCUGAAUACAUUAGCGUGGAAUAAUAGAAUAGGACGGUGGUCCUGUUUUGUUGGUUUCUGAAUCACCGUAAUGAUUAAUAGGGAUAGUUGGGGGCAUUAGUAUUCAAUUGUCAGAGGUGAAAUUCUUGGAUUUAUUGAAGACUAACUACUGCGAAAGCAUUUGCCAAGGAUGUUUUCAUUAAUCAAGAACGAAAGUUAGGGGAUCGAAGACGAUCAGAUACCGUCGUAGUCUUAACCAUAAACUAUGCCGACUAGGGAUCGGACGAUGUUAAUUUUUCUUGACUCGUUCGGCGCCUUACGGGAAAC